RNAcentral lists this ribosomal RNA (206 nucleotides) under uncultured bacterium. RNAcentral's name for it is "partial 16S ribosomal RNA". It matches the Rfam family "Bacterial small subunit ribosomal RNA", at positions 568 to 774 of the family's 1533-position model. The record is from RNAcentral.
CGUGUAGGCGGCCAAGCAGGUCCGUUGUGAAAACUGGAGGCUUAACCUCCAGACGUCGACGGAAACCGCGCGGCUAGAGUCCGGAAGAGGAGAGUGGAAUUCCUGGUGUAGCGGUGAAAUGCGCAGAUAUCAGGAAGAACACCAAUGGCGAAGGCAGCUCUCUGGGACGGUACUGACGCUGAGACGCGAAAGCGCGGGAGCGAACA